CCACCACGCUUCCAGGAAAAGCCACUAAGCUUCAGCCAAGUCAGAACCGUACCGCAAACCGACACAGGUGGGUAGGAUGAGAAUUCUAAGGCGCUUGAGAGAACUCAGGAGAAGGAACUCGGCAAAUUGAUACCGUAACUUCGGGAGAAGGUAUGCCCUUUGAUGUGAAAGACUAGCUCUGUAAGCAUCGGAGGGUCGCAGAGAAUCGGUGGCUGCGACUGUUUAUUAAAAACACAGCACUCUGCUAACACGAAAGUGGACGUAUAGGGUGUGACGCCUGCCCGGUGCUGGAAGGUUAAUUGAAGAUGUGAGAGCAUUGGAUCGAAGCCCCAGUAAACGGCGGCCGUAACAAUAACGGUCCUAAGGUAGCGAAAUUCCUUGUCGGGUAAGUUCCGACCCGCACGAAUGGCGUAACGAUGGCCACACUGUCUCCUCCUGAGACUCAGCGAAGUUGAAAUGGCUGUGAAGAUGCAAUCUCCCCGCUGCUAGACGGAAAGACCCCGUGAACCUUUACUGUAGCUUUGCAUUGGACUUUGAAGUCACUUGUGUAGGAUAGGUGGGAGGCUUAGAAGCAGAGACGCUAGUUUCUGUGGAGCCGUCCUUGAAAUACCACCCUGGUGACUUUGAGGUUCUAACCCAGACCCGUAAUCCGGGUCGGGGACCGUGCAUGGUAGGCAGUUUGACUGGGGCGGUCUCCUCCCAAAGAGUAACGGAGGAGUUCGAAGGUUACCUAGGUCCGGUCGGAAAUCGGGCUGAUAGUGCAAUGGCAAAAGGUAGCUUAACUGCGAGACCGACAAGUCGAGCAGGUGCGAAAGCAGGACAUAGUGAUCCGGUGGUUCUGAAUGGAAGGGCCAUCGCUCAACGGAUAAAAGGUACUCCGGGGAUAACAGGCUGAUUCCGCCCAAGAGUUCAUAUCGACGGCGGAGUUUGGCACCUCGAUGUCGGCUCAUCACAUCCUGGGGCUGUAGUCGGUCCCAAGGGUAUGGCCGUUCGCCAUUUAAAGUGGUACGUGAGCUGGGUUUAAAACGUCGUGAGACAGUUUGGUCCCUAUCUGCAGUGGGCGUUGGAAGUUUGACGGGGGCUGCUCCUAGUACGAGAGGACCGGAGUGGACGAACCUCUGGUGUACCGGUUGUCACGCCAGUGGCAUAGCCGGGUAGCUAAGUUCGGAAGAGAUAAGCGCUGAAAGCAUCUAAGCGCGAAACUCGCCUGAAGAUGAGACUUCCCUGGUGGUAAAACCACCCUAAAGAGUCGUUCGAGACCAGGACGUUGAUAGGUCGGGUGUGGAAGCGCGGUAACGCGUGAAGCUAACCGAUACUAAUUGCUCGUGAGGCUUGAC
This 1337-nucleotide ribosomal RNA is filed under the name metagenome. RNAcentral describes it as "bacterial LSU rRNA". It matches the Rfam family "Bacterial large subunit ribosomal RNA", at positions 1597 to 2925 of the family's 2925-position model. The record is from RNAcentral.